Long non-coding RNA from Hordeum vulgare subsp. vulgare (domesticated barley), 1225 nucleotides. RefSeq lists it as uncharacterized. The record is from RefSeq and is a predicted model, not a curated record. The transcript has 6 exons. NCBI's taxonomy places the organism in Eukaryota, Viridiplantae, Streptophyta, Magnoliopsida, Poales, Poaceae.
CUCAUUUCUCUCUCGGUCUCUCCCAUGAGAGGGAGAGCCAAGCCACAAGCACCUGCUCGCGUCUCUCUCCCUCGCCGCCCCACCUUCCACCGUUCCCGUGGCUAGCUAGGGUUUCUGCUACCAUCCUACCAAUUCGCCUCGAUCUGCCAGAUCCGGCGAUGGCGAGGCUAGAGGUGCCCGGAUCCGGCACCGGAAGGGAGUAAUAGCUAGCUCGUCGAUGUGCACGUGCUACACUCCAUGCCGCUCCAUCGAGCUGGCUGGACGGUGGAGGCGCAAGACCUAGGGUUUGUGGUUUCUUUGACACAUGCUGGCCACAGAUCUCCGACAAGUAGGACGACAAUGAUAUCGACAGGAUCCUCGAAUGGCUUUCAUCCACCUCGCGCUGCAGGGCGGGGUCGGUCAUCUUCUGGGGCGAGGGGAUCAGUUCCCCACCCUGGCAGUCGAUCCUGACCGCCAGUACUUUACUGGCCUCCUCCACUGGCGUCUGUGCGAUGGCGCCCGACGCCAUGUAGGUUGCGUCAGCUGCUUUAGUAGGCAUGCCAUGGAUGUGAUGGACCUGCUGCCACCGGAUGUCUUCCACGAGCUGCUCCUGUUGUUGAUCCUCAUCAACUUCACAUGUUUUCUGUUGUUGCUGUAGUUAUCAAUUAGCUUAAUUGCUUACUGGAUCCGUCGACUUUGCAACCGUCAAGCCCGUCGACUUCUCCGCCAUUGACUUUGGCCGCAAGACAAUGUGCCAUCGCCUCCGUCGAUUAUGCCAGAAGAUCAUUAGCCGUCGCGUAGGCCUACUUUGGCACAGGUACAUAGAGUACUAACUUUGAAGAACAAGAUACAAGAUUUGAAGCAGCCAAGCUUGCCACCCAUCGCUAUGUGCCAAAUACAUUCGAAUUGCACAGUAUGCUUUGUUUGAUCGAGACUUCUCGAUCUGUAUCAAGUUUAUUGGAAGAUAGCCUGAAGGUUUGUGGAUGACUAGUAGCUUCUAAGGACGUAUCCAAUGGUGGGGUUGACGUCCAUGUAGAACAUCUCCAACUGUAAAGUUGGAAGAAGCUUAAUUCAAGUUGGAACAAAAUGGAACUUUCAUGUGACGUGAUGGUUUUUGUUUAGUCAUGUGAGGUUGUAAGUUGAUGAAAUAUUAACUAUUGCUUGCUGUCAUGUGCCCUUUUAAUUUGCUACGAGUUAUGUACUGUAAUGUGAUGUCUUCUCGUUGGAUAGAAGAUGAGUUGAAACA